This is a long non-coding RNA of Arabidopsis thaliana (thale cress), 730 nucleotides long. RefSeq annotates it as other RNA. The transcript is spliced from 2 exons. The record is from RefSeq. Lineage: Eukaryota; Viridiplantae; Streptophyta; Magnoliopsida; Brassicales; Brassicaceae.
AACGCCUCGUUAGAAGCCUUUGAACCGACCAAACCUCGAUCAGGUCUUAACUGUAGAAACAAGGAGCGAAACAAAUCUUCAACCGGAUGAAACCAAUCUCAAAAGAGAGCAGCACAAGAUCGAACCGGGAAGAAACCAUAAAGACCACCACUAGAACCAGGGAGCACGAGUAAACAAGUCGAACAACCAAAUAGAGAUCAAGCUAGUCACCAGAACCGUUCAAAUAACCAAAACACAUGAACACAAAGAGGAAGCAUGAGAGACGAGGGAGGGACCGAGGUACCGAGAACGGAGCCGUUGUUGCUCAGAUCCAGUGAAGGAAGAAGGCCAGAGCCUCCUCCGGUGCUCCCAAUGCAAUGAAACACGUGACCAGAGACAAAACGAAGAUCCACACCAUGAGGCAGAGGCGAGAACGACGACUCCAUCUUCACCAUCUACCUUAAGGCAUGUCAAUUUCGGUCUCAUAGAACCAAACCUCGAUAGAUUUGAGAUUCGAUACAACCCAAUCCACCUCGCCGAAAUCACCACGCUUCACAGCCGAAGAAAGCAAUGACAAGAAAUAAGAGAGGGGACCGACGCUGGCGCUUUAGGAGCCACCACGCGCCGGUCAGAUCUAGCCAAGACGGUAAAAAACAAGAAAGAGCUAAAGCAACAACAAAAUCAUUUGGGAUUGUUGUUAUUCAUUAGUGAGCCAACUUUGCAUUAGGCCACCAAUAUGCUAUAGUUACGG